AUACGUAGGGGGCGAGCGUUGUCCGGAAUGAUUGGGCGUAAAGGGCGCGUAGGCGGCGCGGUAAGUCUGGUGUGAAAGUCCUGCGCUCAAGGUGGGAAUUGCUUUGGAAACUGCCGCGCUUGAGUGCAGGAGAGGCUAUUGGAAUUCCCGGUGUAGCGGUGAAAUGCGUAGAGAUCGGGAAGAACACCAGUGGCGAAGGCGGAGUGCUGUACGACAACGGACGGUGAGGCGCGAAAGCGGGGGGAGCAAACAGGAUUAGAUACCCUGGUAGUCCACGCUGUAAACGAUCAAUACUAGGGUUGGGGGGACUGACCCCCUGCGUGCCGCAGUUAACACAAUAAGUACUGCGCCUGGGGAGUACGAUCGCAAGAUUGAAACUCAAAUGAAUUGACGGGG
RNAcentral lists this ribosomal RNA (396 nucleotides) under uncultured bacterium. Its description in RNAcentral is "partial 16S ribosomal RNA". It matches the Rfam family "Bacterial small subunit ribosomal RNA", at positions 523 to 918 of the family's 1533-position model. The record is from RNAcentral.